AGAGUUUGAUCAUGGCUCAGGAUGAACGCUAGCUACAGGCUUAACACAUUGCAAGUCGAGGGGAAACGACAUCGAAAGCUUGCUUUUGAUGGGCGUCGACCGGCGCACGGGUGAGUAACGCGUAUCCAACCUGCCCACCACUUGGGGAUAACCUUGCGAAAGUAAGACUAAUACCCAAUGAUAUCUCUAGAAGACAUCUGAAAGAGAUUAAAGAUUUAUCGGUGAUGGAUGGGGAUGCGUCUGAUUAGCUUGUUGGCGGGGUAACGGCCACCAAGGCGACGAUCAGUAGGGGUUCUGAGAGGAAGGUCCCCCANAUUGGAACUGAGACACGGUCCAAACGUCCUACGGGAGGCA
This 354-nucleotide ribosomal RNA is filed under the name uncultured bacterium. RNAcentral describes it as "bacterial SSU rRNA". It matches the Rfam family "Bacterial small subunit ribosomal RNA", at positions 8 to 350 of the family's 1533-position model. The record is from RNAcentral.